RNAcentral lists this ribosomal RNA (788 nucleotides) under uncultured bacterium. RNAcentral's name for it is "bacterial SSU rRNA". It matches the Rfam family "Bacterial small subunit ribosomal RNA", at positions 90 to 860 of the family's 1533-position model. The record is from RNAcentral.
GUUGAGUGGCGGACGGGUGAGUAACACGUGGGUAACCUGCCUAAAAGAAGGGGAUAACACUUGGGAAACAGGUGCUAAUACCGUAUAUCUCUAAGGGUCGCAUGAUCCUUAGAUGUAAGAUGGUUCUGCUAUCGCUUUUAGAUGGACCCGCGGCGUAUUAACUAGUUGGUGGGGUAACGGCCUACCAAGGUGAUGAUACGUAGCCGAACUGAGAGGUUGAUCGGCCACAUUGGGACUGAGACACGGCCUAAACUCCUACGGGAGGCAGCAGUAGGGAAUCUUCCACAAUGGACGCAAGUCUGAUGGAGCAACGCCGCGUGAGUGAAGAAGGUCUUCGGAUCGUAAAACUCUGUUGUUAGAGAAGAACACGAGUGAGAGUAACUGUUCAUUCGAUGACGGUAUCUAACCAGCAAGUCACGGCUAACUACGUGCCAGCAGCCGCGGUAAUACGUAGGUGGCAAGCGUUGUCCGGAUUUAUUGGGCGUAAAGGGAACGCAGGCGGUCUUUUAAGUCUGAUGUGAAAGCCUUCGGCUUAACCGGAGUAGUGCAUUGGAAACUGGAAGACUUGAGUGCAGAAGAGGAGAGUGGAACUCCAUGUGUAGCGGUGAAAUGCGUAGAUAUAUGGAAGAACACCAGUGGGCGAAAGCGGCUCUCUGGUCUGUAACUGACGCUGAGGUUCGAAAGCGCGGGUAGCAAACAGGAUUAGAUACCCUGGUAGUCCACGCCCGUAAACGAUGAAUGCUAGGUGUUUGGAGGGUUUCCCGCCCUUCAUGCCGCACCUUACGCAA